This 250-nucleotide unclassified non-coding RNA is filed under the name plant metagenome. Its description in RNAcentral is "partial contains small subunit ribosomal RNA, internal transcribed spacer 1, and 5.8S ribosomal RNA". The record is from RNAcentral.
GUAGGUGAACCUGCGGAAGGAUCAUUCAUAAUAAGUGUUUUAUGGCACUUUUAAAAAUCCAUAUCCACCUUGUGUGAAAUGUCUGUCGCUUUUCUCUUUUUUCCUCGGAAAAAAACGAAGCGGCUCAACAUCAACUCAUUUUAAUUACUUUGUCUGAAAACUAUUAUGAAUAAACUAAUUCAAAAUACAACUUUCAACAACGGAUCUCUUGGCUCUCGCAUCGAUGAAGAACGCAGCAUCUGACUGACUC